This 1056-nucleotide unclassified non-coding RNA is filed under the name Leishmania donovani. RNAcentral describes it as "gene:unknown". Lineage: Eukaryota; Euglenozoa; Kinetoplastea; Trypanosomatida; Trypanosomatidae. The record is from RNAcentral.
UGGAUGUCACAGCUGCUUGUACGACGCUACGCGUUGCGUUACCGGGGUUUGCUCAGUUCAUUCGUUGGUCGCCUCUUUUCUCUCUUCUUUAUUUGCUGUAUUGCGCUCCCUGAUGACGGGAGGGGAGCUCCUCAGUGCGCAGCAUCACAGGUCCAGUACCCCCCCUCCUCCUCCUCCCACCCUCUGUACUCGAAGGCCACAGCAGCCCUCCCUCUGUCCCUGCCAAUGCCGCGCCACAUCUGGUGGUGACAGGGUCAAAUGACUACAACGCAGGGAGGCCAGAGCGAUGUAUCGCUACGAGUGUCGGCGAUCCGGUCGUGGAUGGUGUUGCGCCGGAGCGAGCUGCGACAGUGAAGAUGCUUGCGUCAUCUGCGGGAUGGGCGAAGGGCCAGCGCGACUCGAACGCAUCCUAGCAGGUCCUGAGUGUCCAGUGAUGGGUGCCUGAGUCGUCCCGAAGAAGAUGCAUCGCGUGGCGACCGGCAGGGUGGGUAGCUGCUCUGGGGAGAUCUUCGAGGCCGGGGGGAAGGGUUAAAGUUCGAGGCCGCGGCCGUGCUAUCAGAUGACUGAGUCGGCGCGUUGCUGUACUGGCGUGUCUAGCGUUCCUUGGCACCAUGCGGACGAGCCUGCGACCGGUGGGGUGGAGUAGAACCCAAAUCAUGUGCUGUGGCAGAAUGGACACGUUGUAAAUGUUGCGCCUCAUGGUAAAAUCUUGUCACAAGGGGGGGCGGCCAGCACCCCGUCACAUCGUGGCUCUCCUUCUGUUUCAAAAUCUCCGCGGGUUCUUGGAGAAGGGGGCUCGGAGGUGGCUCGCACGCUGGUGGGCUUGCUUACAGACUGAGCAAGUGGCCGACGUAGAGAACACCCGCAUCAUGCCGCCUCCUGAGGGCCCAGGGGCAGGGCCGCGAUGUGUGCAGUCUUAUGAUCCAACUAUCCUCUUCUCUUGCGCGCAUGACCUCUGCGGUCGAUGCUAUUCUGUGCUCGCACAGCAUGGCAACUGCAACGCACACGCACGCCCCUCUCGCUCCCUGCACUCUUUCCUUCCCUCUCUUCCUGCAG